CACUCCUUCAAUCACUCACUCCACUCUAGGAGGAGUAAGAACAAAACAAUCACUGACUUUCGUGACCAAUCACGCCUUUCGCGUCUUACCCUCUCCUACGGUUUGCCAAACUUAGGGCUCCUAGGUCCCAAUGACCUAAUACUAAGCUCUGAUACCAACUUAAUCUGUCACGCCCGGAUUUCUCAUUUUCACGAGCACGCUAACAGACCCGCUGUAUACAUAAAAAUUUUUUCUGUAUACGAAGCGAAGCUGUACCUGUACCUGUAAUCAAACAACACUACAACCAGUAGUAUA
RNAcentral lists this long non-coding RNA (294 nucleotides) under Ananas comosus (pineapple). Its description in RNAcentral is "long non-coding RNA (ACOM_LNC013319)". Lineage: Eukaryota; Viridiplantae; Streptophyta; Magnoliopsida; Poales; Bromeliaceae. The record is from RNAcentral.